Molecule: non-coding RNA, 249 nt
Filed under: Deltaproteobacteria bacterium RIFOXYD12_FULL_55_16
Lineage: Bacteria; Deltaproteobacteria
Description: partial RNase P RNA component class A
Rfam family: Bacterial RNase P class A
About the family: Ribonuclease P (RNase P) is a ubiquitous endoribonuclease, found in archaea, bacteria and eukarya as well as chloroplasts and mitochondria. Its best characterised activity is the generation of mature 5'-ends of tRNAs by cleaving the 5'-leader elements of precursor-tRNAs. Cellular RNase Ps are ribonucleoproteins.
Source: RNAcentral
CACAGAAAACAAACCGCCGGGCAACCGGUAAGGGUGAAAAGGUGGGGUAAGAGCCCACCGCUUGCGUGGCGACAGGCAAGGCACGGCAAACCCCUCCUGGAGCAAAACCAAAUAGGGAAGCAUUUGAGGGCGGCCCGCCCGAAGCUUCCGGGUAGGUUGCAAGAGAUGCCGGGCAACCGGCAUCCACAGAGAAAUGAUCAUGGCCCUUGCAAAAGGGUACAGAAUCCGGCUUAUAGCCCACUCCCUUUU